Rosa chinensis is the source of this 1761-nucleotide long non-coding RNA. RefSeq lists it as uncharacterized. The record is from RefSeq and is a predicted model, not a curated record. NCBI's taxonomy places the organism in Eukaryota, Viridiplantae, Streptophyta, Magnoliopsida, Rosales, Rosaceae. The transcript has 6 exons.
UAGCCACAAAGAAAGUUCAGUCGCGACCAAACUUGCCAAACAGUGUUUCAAUUCUAUAGGAGUUAACCUGUGGUGCUAAUGCAGUUGAGUUCAUCAUCAACCACGCUGAAGUUUCAAUAGCUUUUGUUCAAGAUAACAAAAUCCCUGCUAUUUGAUCAUGCUUUCCAAACUGUUCUGCGCAUAUAAAAGCAAUUGUCAGCUUCACAAAUGUUUCUAGCACCCAAAGACAGAAGAUCUGGGGGUAUCUUGCUUUUUGUGGGAGGAAUUCUUUUAGUUGAGAAUAUGUCAGAGGCAAUCUUCCAUUACAAUCUUCCUGUUAUGCUAUCUCAGCAGAAAAACCCAUCUAGGGAUUUGCAACCUCCGCCUCCACAGCCACAACUAGCUUCAAAUUUAUCAAGCUGAUAAGCAUCCAUUCUCUACAAGUUGUAUUAGACAUUUACAAGAUUAGAUGUAUCACCUAGAAGUGUCUCUUCUUACAAAAAUGUAGAACAAGAAAAAGGCUGGGAAAGUGUUCUUUUACUGCAUCAGGUUUGUGACAGCUACCUUGGCGUAAGGGCGGUUGAAUCCUCUUUCUGCCACAACAGCUCUCUUAUCUCCUGUCUGCGUAAUUGGCUAAGACCUUCAGAAGCUGAGUUCUUUCAGAUUUGGGAGCUUGUCAUGUUUCGAAAGAAGAUGGACAUCAUAGUUAGAAGAAGAGGAAGAGGAAGAGGAAGAAGUUUUUCCAUCAUCCGUCAUAGCUUCAAUUUGGUUGAAUAAAUUAUAAAAUGCAACAAAAUGCAUGAGUUCCUCUGAUUUUCCCGAGUCCUUGAUGCUUUAUUUUUUGUUGAAACUUGGAAAUUGAGUACCUUAUUAUGAGAGUUGCUAGGUCUGAAGACCACUAAAUGCUGAAGAAUGGAGUGGAUUUAUGUUAUUUUGCAUAUGUAUGGUCAAAUAAUGUUCAAAUGUAGUGUUAUGAACCUUGAUUCCAGGUUGUCAAAUAGCACUGGUAGUAGUAUAUAACUAACUAUAUAUAUCAAGCUCACUGAUUUAGUUUAAUUUUGAGACAUUGAACUGUAAGAGUCGGUAUGACAUAUUAGAAUCUGCUUCUUCUUGGCCCCGUGGCUGGUAUGCUUAAAUAGAUUCAGCUGUGUAUGCUUGAGCUGUUGGUUAAUUUUAUGCAUCUGAUGAUGUUUUUCUGUUUAAAAAGGCAUAUGUAAGAUUUUGGUACAUGCAGAAGUGAUAGGUGUAUUGUUUUGUUGUGUUACUAAAUUGUCCUUGCAAUUCCAUAGAAGUGGUCAUUAUAUGUGUACAUUAAAGUUUUGUUAUGCCUGCAGAUUUAAGUUUGUCUUUUUGGAAUAAACAAUACUGUUGAAUGCAGAAGAGCAUGUAUAGCGUUUAUGUAGAGCUGGAUGAAAUUAAAGCAUUCAAGCUCAGGACUGAAUACAAUAGCAAAGAAGAACUAUCUGAUAAACUUGAUGAAAGCAAACUGAGCAGCUCGGCAAGGUCCAGGAGGCAAGUUUGAACAACCUUGUUGUAAGUACAUUGGCCUAUUACCAUUCAACAUAUGAUUUCCCACUACGACGAGGAAACCGGAGCUUCAAGGAAGCAAAGAGAAAGAUCACAAGAUCGGUUCUUGAAGACAAGAUCAAGUCAAAUCGAGUCACUGAUCUUGAGUUUAAUGUGUAUUCAUUCCAUAUUGGUUGGUAUAAAUCUAAAUUGAUAUGCAUAUCGGUUGUAUUAAGUCAAUAAUCCCUUAUGCAUUAAAAUGGUUUUUAACAUGCA